GAGUGGCGGACGGGUGAGUAACACGUGGGUAACCUGCCCUUAAGUGGGGGAUAACAUUUGGAAACAGAUGCUAAUACCGCAUAGAUCCAAGAACCGCAUGGUUCUUGGCUGAAAGAUGGCGUAAGCUAUCGCUUUUGGAUGGACCCGCGGCGUAUUAGCUAGUUGGUGAGGUAAUGGCUCACCAAGGCGAUGAUACGUAGCCGAACUGAGAGGUUGAUCGGCCACAUUGGGACUGAGACACGGCCCAAACUCCUACGGGAGGCAGCAGUAGGGAAUCUUCCACAAUGGACGCAAGUCUGAUGGAGCAACGCCGCGUGAGUGAAGAAGGCUUUCGGGUCGUAAAACUCUGUUGUUGGAGAAGAAUGGUCGGCAGAGUAACUGUUGUCGGCGUGACGGUAUCCAACCAGAAAGCCACGGCUAACUACGUGCCAGCAGCCGCGGUAAUACGUAGGUGGCAAGCGUUAUCCGGAUUUAUUGGGCGUAAAGCGAGCGCAGGCGGUUUUUUAAGUCUGAUGUGAAAGCCCUCGGCUUAACCGAGGAAGCGCAUCGGAAACUGGGAAACUUGAGUGCAGAAGAGGACAGUGGAACUCCAUGUGUAGCGGUGAAAUGCGUAGAUAUAUGGAAGAACACCAGUGGCGAAGGCGGCUGUCUGGUCUGUAACUGACGCUGAGGCUCGAAAGCAUGGGUAGCGAACAGGAUUAGAUACCCUGGUAGUCCAUGCCGUAAACGAUGAAUGCUAGGUGUUGGAGGGUUUCCGCCCUUCAGUGCCGCAGCUAACGCAUUAAGCAUUCCGCCUGGGGAGUACGACCGCAAGGUUGAAACUCAAAGGAAUUGACGGGGGCCCGCACAAGCGGUGGAGCAUGUGGUUUAAUUCGAAGCAACGCGAAGAACCUUACCAGGUCUUGACAUCUUUUGAUCACCUGAGAGAUCAGGUUUCCCCUUCGGGGGCAAAAUGACAGGUGGUGCAUGGUUGUCGUCAGCUCGUGUCGUGAGAUGUUGGGUUAAGUCCCGCAACGAGCGCAACCCUUAUGACUAGUUGCCAGCAUUUAGUUGGGCACUCUAGUAAGACUGCCGGUGACAAACCGGAGGAAGGUGGGGAUGACGUCAAAUCAUCAUGCCCCUUAUGACCUGGGCUACACACGUGCUACAAUGGAUGGUACAACGAGUUGCGAGACCGCGAGGUCAAGCUAAUCUCUUAAAGCCAUUCUCAGUU
RNAcentral lists this ribosomal RNA (1213 nucleotides) under Lacticaseibacillus casei. RNAcentral's name for it is "bacterial SSU rRNA". It matches the Rfam family "Bacterial small subunit ribosomal RNA", at positions 93 to 1293 of the family's 1533-position model. The record is from RNAcentral. Lineage: Bacteria; Bacillati; Bacillota; Bacilli; Lactobacillales; Lactobacillaceae.